UGGCCAAACAGGUCCCAGGUGAUCUGAACAA
This 31-nucleotide non-coding RNA is filed under the name Homo sapiens (human). Lineage: Eukaryota; Metazoa; Chordata; Mammalia; Primates; Hominidae. The record is from RNAcentral.